Molecule: long non-coding RNA, 2978 nt
Organism: Callorhinus ursinus (northern fur seal)
Lineage: Eukaryota; Metazoa; Chordata; Mammalia; Carnivora; Otariidae
Source: RefSeq, a predicted model, not a curated record
AGAUCCUGCAGAUUCGCCGAGUUGGCGAUUCACAAAAUGCAUGAAGUGCCGGUCACACCGUAGGCAUCAGUCUCCCUUUCCAGCAUGAUCCUUGCAGUCCAGCCACAAAGGAUGACCCCUGACAGUCUGCACCAUCCAAAGGGGUUUAGGAGAGAUUUGGGGAAUGGCUGGGGCCGCAGCCACAGACCUGGGGACCAGAGGCAUCAUGGCCCACGUAGGAGGACUCAGGCACCCCUUUGGGCAUGUGCCUCCUCUCCUGGCCUCAGACUCUCUCCUGAAGUAGGUGGACAGCAUCAUCUCUCGGUUCCUCCCAGCUUACAAGUUCUCUGUUCUAAAUCCAUCCAUCAAACACUAUUUUGAGGGUUUCGAAGUGCAGCCUGGGUGUUUUACAUUAUCCCACACACCUACCUCACACCUUCUAGAGUUCAAAAGUCUCUUUUGAGUGGCAUGUCAAACGGACACAUUUCUGGGCCCGAGGGGCUCUGUCUGGGAGCCUCUUCGUCCGAGGAGCUGACUGGUCACUUCCAAAUCCUGCAGGUGUCUUUGCUCCUGACAGCAGGUUGCACAGCGAGGACUUAAUUCUCCUAAAUUAAGACCUCUCUGUAUUACCCUGACGGCCCCUGAGUUCUUCAGUGUGAUGCGGCCAAGCGCAGUAAGAGAUGGAUGAAGACACAGUGGCGUCAGUAAAUACCAGAGGAUUGAGGGAAAGAAACCCAGCUGGCUCAGAACAAGUAGCCGAAGUACAAUUUUGUCACAAAUCGGGCAUGUUAUCACUGCCACGGGGCCAUACUCCUGCCCCGAAAACUGACUGAUGACUAAAUUCCUAGUUCAACCCCCUUCACCCUCAGUCAGGACACGCCACAUAAGUGCAUGCGGUUCCUGGGUACCGUGGCCGCGAGAGGGCCAGCCCGCCGGUAUCCCAGAUGCCCAUCCACAUCUCCCAGACUCCCUUGCGGGUAGGCGGGGUCACGUGACUGACUGUGGCCAAUGGGCUGUGAGUGGAAGUGGGCGGGGGCCGCGAACAGCGGGUGACACGCUGCGAGGUCCCCCUUCCUUCGCUGUGGCCAUGGAGGCCCCGAGGUGUGACUGGAGCAGCCCGAGGGCUGCGUGGAAGCCUCGGUCGUCGGGGGGAAGACUUGUGGGCGUCUUACAGCUAGAGGUUACUUUGUAGCGCAGCCUGGCUUCUCCUGCGUACGUGAGGACCUGGAAAGGAGUCGGCUACGCCCCUGGAACAGCUGCCGUGGGGUCCGCGCCUCUACUGCGCGCCGGAACUCCGUGUCCCCUCCGUAGUAAACUGGGAUGCAGGAUCUAACCGGCGGGGUGGGCGUGCUGGAGGAGUGCAUUUAAACGUCCAGCCAGUGCCUGGCACCCGGGAGGGGCCCGGGCGAUGUCAGUUGUCGUCCGGAACCCCAGAGCCAUGACUCCGCUCCCUCCGGAGCUUCACGGUCUCACAGGGAGACAGCCCCCUCCAUGGGCCGAGUGAUAUCACCUUGCCAUCCGCGGGUGCAUUUGGUCAAAGGUGCAGAUGCCUGUGUCUGGGCGUGAACCCAGCACUUCUCAGAAGUGUGAAUUCUGCGCUCGCCUCCCCUAUGGCUGCACACCCGGGACCAAAAGCGGCGGAGCCGUCCGGAGUCAGUCCUGCCGCAGGCCUGAGCUUUCUUAAGCGGGCCCUGCGGACGGAUGAUCUGAUGCACUCUUCAUGACAGUCUCGGAUGUGGUACAGGAGGACCCGGGACGCCAAGAAGAGAGGCUGCUUGGUCUUCCAGCUCCCAGUGGGCCCUGUGGGGACCCAAACCAGCACCUCAGUGGAGGUGUGCAUCGAGUUGCUUGUGCCCUGUCCUGCAUGGCUCACAAGGUUGUUGGAAGGGCAGAUGCAAGCAGGGACGGGGAAGGCCUUCAUCCCCCGUGACACUCUGCACCUCUAGCGGGAGCGGUGACAAACCUGAUUUGUCUGGUUUGAAUUCAGACAAAUUCAGGUUUGUCUGAAUGAGGAACCCUGGGUACUAGCCAUCAUACAGUGCUGCCAUCUUUGGGGCCCAGUAUUCCACAUUGUGCCUGGCACAGAGCAGGUGCCCUGUCUGUGUGUGCUGUUGAAAGGACGAAAUCACAGCCUGGGCCAGGCCCGCUUACCGCUGCUUAGACCGCCAGCCCACAGGUGUUCAGAAGCCCCGCGUGACAAGGGAGAUCACCUUGUGGGGAAGUGAACACUCUCUCCUCUCUCCCCAGACCAUGCAGCCACUGGGCGCCUUUUACACGGUCUGAGAUACCAGGUCUGCGCCCCUGGUUGCAUGCAGGGCAGGGGCGGGAGGGGGGGACCCGACACAGCAGGCAGCCCUCUUGGUUGGUGGGGAGGGGCCUGAUGACUGGCCUGGCUGCCACUCCUGGCAGGCAGGGUUUAGAUGGGGGACGCCUCAUCCAGCCCCAGUGUCCAUUUUUCACUCAGAGGAAACCCUUGAUGGGCGCUGUGAGGCUGGCGGGCUGGCUGCGGCUGGCUUGGUGCUGGGGCUAAUGAAGCCACCGUGAGCCUCGUCACCUCCUAACAACUUGGCGGGAGCUCCUGCCGGACUAUGUGGCUGUUCAAGGGCCACGUACGUCCAUGGUGGAUGUCACCACCAAAGGCCGGGCUGGGCACUGAUGCAGCUAGGGAACCCGUGCCAUGUCAUUCAUUAAAGGAGGAUCUUUGUGACCACUGCUCAGCCUAGCAGGUCCUUUCUUGUUACCAGGGAAGUUGCAGUCAAAGAGCUUGGUGGGGAGCGGCAGCCAGGCACAACCCGGCUCAUCUCAGGAGGGGACCGUGUCUCUUAGCGCUUCUGGGGGAGAGAUGGCCUCCGACUGGCACGGCCAUCCUAGCUGUGGGGGUCUCCCGCGGCCCCACGUGCCUCUGCCCCUUACUUGGGAACUGUAACCCUUAGAGAUCAGAAGGAGCAUGGGGGUAAGACAAUUCAAUAAACUCACAAUAAAACAUCCAAAGCCUUUCA